GAUGAACGCUGGCGGCGUGCCUAAUACAUGCAAGUCGAGCGAACGGACGAGAAGCUUGCUUCUCUGAUGUUAGCGGCGGACGGGUGAGUAACACGUGGAUAACCUACCUAUAAGACUGGGAUAACUUCGGGAAACCGGAGCUAAUACCGGAUAAUAUUUUGAACCGCAUGGUUCAAAAGUGAAAGACGGUCUUGCUGUCACUUAUAGAUGGAUCCGCGCUGCAUUAGCUAGUUGGUAAGGUAACGGCUUACCAAGGCAACGAUGCAUAGCCGACCUGAGAGGGGGGUCGGCCACACUGGAACUGAGACCCGGUCCAGCCUCCUACGGGAGGCAGCAGUGGGGAAUCUUCCGAAAUGGGCGAAAGCCUGACGGAGCAACGCCGCGUGAGUGAUGAAGGUCUUCGGAUCGUAAAACUCUUUUUUUAGGGAAGAACAAAUGUGUAAGUAACGGUGCCCAUCUUGACGGUACCUAAACAAAAAGCCACGGCAAACUCCGU
RNAcentral lists this ribosomal RNA (496 nucleotides) under uncultured bacterium. RNAcentral's name for it is "partial 16S ribosomal RNA". It matches the Rfam family "Bacterial small subunit ribosomal RNA", at positions 28 to 506 of the family's 1533-position model. The record is from RNAcentral.